Molecule: small RNA, 744 nt
Filed under: Pongo abelii (Sumatran orangutan)
Lineage: Eukaryota; Metazoa; Chordata; Mammalia; Primates; Hominidae
Description: retained intron
Source: RNAcentral
CAGUCCCCAGGCGUGGCUACAGUUGGUGAAGAAUCUUUCCAUGCCGCUGGAGCUCAUCUGCUCCGAUGGGCACACGCAAGGCAGCGGGAGCCUGGCCCAGGCUGUCAUCAGGGAAGUCAGAGCCCAGUGGAGUCGGAUUUUCUCCACCGCACUCUUUGUGGAGCAUGUGCUCCUAGGAACCGAGAGCCAGGUCCCCGAGUUACACAGGCUGGUGACCGAGCACGUCUUCUUACUAGACAAGGGAUUACCUGGCCUUUGGAGUGACCCCAGAACAGACCACUAGCCUGGCCAUCUGUGGAAGCUGUUAUCAUUUUCAUAGUCAUAGAAACAAGGAUGUCGGAGAAUGCCCCUGGGGUUGGAGUCUUUAAAACAGUGCUGUCAACAGAACCAAGGAAUAGGAAGCCACCAUGCCUGUCACUCAACACCCUUCAUAAAGCUACUAAUGUGGGGUGGUCUGCAGAAAAAAAAACCUGUGACCCUACAGUGAUGCACCUCUGUGGCCACACAGUGGUGUCCAGCAACAAUGGCCACUCAGCCAAACACAGCCUCUGCCUCACCCGCACCCCUGACCUUCACGUGAGCACAUCCAGAGCCCUCACUGCCAGGGGGUCUGGAAGAGGCAGCACUGGCUGUCCGACCUUUGGAGCCCAGGAAGGUUUACUAAAAGGAGGCCAGCAUGGAUGCUGGAUGUCAAAACAUCAGUGGCUUAGACAUAGUAUCAGCUGAUUUCCCACCCAGGAUGGG